CCAUUUGCACUCGCUGGAGCAACUGAGAACAAAUCUGCUCCAUCUUCUGCAACAAAUAGCUAAAGAAUGCUAGUAUGUCUCUCCUUAAUCUUCUCUCCUCCAGGACAAACAUACCCAGAUCUUUCAA
This is a non-coding RNA of Podarcis lilfordi (Lilford's wall lizard), 127 nucleotides long. NCBI's taxonomy places the organism in Eukaryota, Metazoa, Chordata, Lepidosauria, Squamata, Lacertidae. The record is from the annotation of a GenBank genome assembly.